AUUGAACGCUGGCGGCAUGCUUUACACAUGCAAGUCGAACGGCAGCGCGGGCUUCGGCCUGGCGGCGAGUGGCGAACGGGUGAGUAAUGCAUCGGAACGUGCCCAGUAGUGGGGGAUAGCCCGGCGAAAGCCGGAUUAAUACCGCAUACGACCUGAGGGUGAAAGCGGGGGACCGAAAGGCCUCGCGCUAUUGGAGCGGCCGAUGUCGGAUUAGCUAGUUGGUGGGGUAAAGUCUUACCAAGGCGACGAUCCGUAGCUGGUCUGAGAGGAAGACCAGCCACACUGGGACUGAGACACGGCCCAGACUCCUACGGGAGGCAGCAGUGGGGAAUUUUGGACAAUGGGGGCAACCCUGAUCCAGCCAUGCCGCGUGCGGGAAGAAGGCCUUAGGGUUGUAAAACGCUUUUGUUCGGGAAGAAAUACUCUGGGCUAAUACCCCGGGGGGAUGACGGUACCGGAAGAAUAAGCACCGGCUAACUACGUG
Molecule: ribosomal RNA, 484 nt
Filed under: uncultured bacterium
Lineage: Bacteria
Description: partial 16S ribosomal RNA
Rfam family: Bacterial small subunit ribosomal RNA
Source: RNAcentral